This 375-nucleotide ribosomal RNA is filed under the name uncultured bacterium. RNAcentral describes it as "bacterial SSU rRNA". It matches the Rfam family "Bacterial small subunit ribosomal RNA", at positions 523 to 898 of the family's 1533-position model. The record is from RNAcentral.
AUACGUAGGGUGCGAGCGUUAAUCGGAAUUACUGGGCGUAAAGCGUGCGCAGGCGGUCUUGCAAGACAGUGGUGAAAUCCCCGGGCUCAACCUGGGAACUGCCAUUGUGACUGCAAGGCUGGAGUGCGGCAGAGGGGGAUGGAAUUCCGCGUGUAGCAGUGAAAUGCGUAGAUAUGCGGAGGAACACCGAUGGCGAAGGCAAUCCCCUGGGCCUGCACUGACGCUCAUGCACGAAAGCGUGGGGAGCAAACAGGAUUAGAUACCCUGGUAGUCCACGCCCUAAACGAUGUCAACUGGUUGUUGGGGAUUAACUUUCUCAGUAACGAAGCUAACGCGUGAAGUUGACCGCCUGGGGAGUACGGCCGCAAGGUUAAA